UCACCCCUCAAGCCCCGUGCUUGGUGUUGGACGGCUUGGUUCGGUGCACGAACCCCUCCUAAAGACAAUGACGGCGGCCUGUGGUUCCCCCGGUACACUGAGCUUUUUCACGGAGCACGUAUCGGACGAGGGCGUCCAGGCCACGGUCCUCUCCUUUCACUAGGAAAUUUUUCUAAA
Molecule: unclassified non-coding RNA, 177 nt
Filed under: uncultured Cladophialophora
Lineage: Eukaryota; Fungi; Ascomycota; Eurotiomycetes; Chaetothyriales; Herpotrichiellaceae
Description: sequence contains ITS2
Source: RNAcentral